UUCAAUAUGUUAUUGUCAUGACUUUUGUGAAAGUAUAUUUUUGGGGGUGUCAUAUCUUGUAAAUUAUUACAUAAUAUGACUGAAUUCCGUGGUGUUAUUUCAAUCUGUUACGUAGUUUGUAUACCAUUAUCAAUGAUUAUGCUUUGCCAAUCAUUUAAUAAUUAAAGUGUUUACCUUUAUGUAAAUACGGCAUUGAUUUUGGGUUUUUAAUUGUUGAUUGGAAACGUAUUCUCAUUGCAAAAUAAAAAGGUAGCUGCUGAGACAGAAAUAAUUGUCUGAGGUCUGCACAACUUAUUGCUGAGGUCUGACAAUGGUUCUCAAAGUUUGUGUGAUUGGGGCUGGUAUUAUUGGACUGUCGUCGGCCAUUCAGAUACAGGAGAGACUCGGACAGCAGGACAUAACUCUCGUAGCUGACAAGUUUUCACCUGAAACUACAGGGGAUGGAUCAGGCGGAUUCUGGAAACCUCACAUGCUUGGAGAAACUCCCAUUUCUGAUAUUAGACGAUGGAGUGUGACGACAUGGCAGCAUCUGACAGACAUAGCAACAUCGCCACUGGCAGCCCAGGCUGGAGCAUCCACUGUGUCUGGCUACUCACUGUCCAGCAGGCCACAGUACCAGGAGGAAUGGUGGAAGGACCUCGUGCUGGGCUACCGCCAUCUCUCCCCCCGGGAGCUGCAGAUGUUCCCUGAUGCAAAAUCCGGUGUAUUCUUCACCACUGUUCAGAUAAAUGCUGUAGCGUAUAUGGACUACUUGUUGAGAAGAUUUCAGAAAAAUGGUGGAAAACUUCAGAUGAAAACUAUUACCAGCAUUGAUGAGGUUGCCUAUGACUACGACGUUGUUGUGAACUGCAGCGGCAUCAGAGCCAGGCAUCUACUCGGGGACCUCGAUGUCGUGCCAGUCAGAGGUCAUCUCACCAGGGUUCGGGCUCCAUGGGUGAAGCACUUUGUCUUGAGGCUGGAUCCUGGAGAAGAAGCAUUUGUGUUGCCGGGGGUGUUGACCUCAGUGUUAGGUGGUGCUGAUGAGGUCGGCAACUGGAGUACCGAGGUCAGGGAAGAAGACAAGACGGCUGUGUGGCAGCGAUGUUGUCAGCUGAUGCCGAGUCUACAGGAUGCACAGGUGGACCAUCACUGGGUGGGUUUGCGUCCCAGUCGGUCCCGGGUCCGGCUGGAGACAAGUCACAUGACGGUCCAGGGGAGAGCAGUACCAGUGAUUCACAACUACGGCCAUGGUGGUUCCGGAGUGACGCUACACUGGGGGUGUGCUGUGGAGGCUGCUGACCUCGUGCUCAGAGAGAUCCAAGCCAGGAGACCCAUGGCCAAACUCUGACCUCUACCUCCUGCAGAUCUGAGGCAGGAGACGCAUGGCCAAACUCUGACCUCUACUCCGGCAGAUCUGAGGCAGGAGAUGUGUGGCCAAACUCUGAGGAACUGUACAGCUGUCUAUAUACCUGUCUGUCAAGAUGUAUAACUGUCUAUAUAUACCUAUCAGUGCUUUAUCCACAACUCAGGUCAAAUUUGUUUACAUCUAUAUUUACCAAAGAUCUGUUUAUUUGUUCUAAACAGACAGAAUGUUUUUUCUGUGUUUUUUUGUUCUUGUCUGUGAAUGUGAAAAUAUUUUUAUUGAAUGUAUUUCAUUGGUGUGUUGUGAGAUGAGAAGGAUGCUGUAUUGCACUCUCAAGGACAAGGUUAUAUCCUGCACACCGCUGAGCAGGAUGGUGUAUUGCACUGUCAAGGACAAGGUUAUAUCCUG
This 1750-nucleotide unclassified non-coding RNA is filed under the name Haliotis rufescens (red abalone). RNAcentral describes it as "d-aspartate oxidase-like, transcript variant X2". The record is from RNAcentral. Lineage: Eukaryota; Metazoa; Mollusca; Gastropoda; Lepetellida; Haliotidae.